Chiloscyllium plagiosum (whitespotted bambooshark) is the source of this 322-nucleotide non-coding RNA. The record is from RefSeq and is a predicted model, not a curated record. NCBI's taxonomy places the organism in Eukaryota, Metazoa, Chordata, Chondrichthyes, Orectolobiformes, Hemiscylliidae.
AUGAAGACCAACUUAGAGUCUUGAAGGAAAAUCUGCCAUAAUGGAAUCAUGAAGUUGGAUUUGGCAAGUUGAAAAGAAAAUCUUUUAUGUUUUUGGAGCAAAGUUUCAUAAGGAACUUGGGCAUUGCUGACAUGACCAGACUUUGUUGGCAAGCCAACUUAGUGCCUUUGGACUAACUGGCUUGCAAGACUUUUGGAGUCAAUCAUACUGUUGUGGAGUUGCACGUAGACUGGUUCAGAAAAAUCACAUUCACAAGCACAGAUGCAUCUGUGUGAAUAUUAAUCUUUUAGAGUACAACAGAAGAGUGUCAUACUUCAAGAGA